RNAcentral lists this ribosomal RNA (497 nucleotides) under uncultured bacterium. RNAcentral describes it as "partial 16S ribosomal RNA". It matches the Rfam family "Bacterial small subunit ribosomal RNA", at positions 28 to 507 of the family's 1533-position model. The record is from RNAcentral.
GAUGAACGCUGGCGGCGUGCCUAAUACAUGCAAGUCGAGCGAACAGACGAGGAGCUUGGUCCUCUGACUUUAUCGGCGGACGGGUGAUUAACACGUGUAUAACCUACCUAUAAGACUGGGAUAACUUCGGGAAACCGUGUCUAAUACCGGAUAAUUUAUUGACCCUCAUUGUGCCAUAGUUGAAUUCGGUUUUGCUUUCACUUAUAGAUGAAUCCGCGCCGCAUUAGCUAGUUGGUAAGGUAACGGCUUAGCAAGGCAACGAUUGGGAGCCGACCUGAGAGCGAGAAUGGACACCUUGGAACUGAGAAACGGCCCAGACUCCGACGGUAGGCAGCAGUAGAGAAUCCUACGCAAUGGGCGAAAGCCUGACGGAGCAAAGUCGCGUGAGUGCUGAACCUGCUCGGACGCGAAAACUAUGUUAUCCGGAAAGAACAAAUGUGUAAGUACCCAUGAACGUAAUGACGGUACCUAAUGAGAAAGCCACGGCUAACUCCGUG